Molecule: ribosomal RNA, 1035 nt
Filed under: uncultured Neocallimastigales
Lineage: Eukaryota; Fungi; Neocallimastigomycota; Neocallimastigomycetes; Neocallimastigales
Description: partial large subunit ribosomal RNA
Rfam family: Eukaryotic large subunit ribosomal RNA
Source: RNAcentral
UCGCAUCUGUGCAUGCAGCAUAUCAAUAAGCGGAGGAAAAGAAACUAACAAGGAUUCCCUUAGUAACGGCGAGUGAAGCGGGAAGAGCUCAAAUUUGAAAUCUUCAAGGUUUUACCUUGACGAAUUGUAGUUUAAAGAAGUGUUUUCUGUUGAAGUUUUGGUAAAAGUUCUUUGGAAUAGGACAUCAUAGAGGGUGAGAAUCCCGUAUUUGACCAUUAUUUUCAGCUGUGUGAUACACUUUCAAAGAGUCGGAUUGCUUGGGAAUGCAGUCCAAAAUGGGUGGUAAAUUUCAUCUAAAGCUAAAUAUUGGCGAGAGACCGAUAGCGAACAAGUACCGUGAGGGAAAGAUGAAAAGAACUUUGAAAAGAGAGUUAAACAGUACGUGAAAUUGUCAAAAGGGAAGCGCUUGACACCAGUGUUGUUUUCUCGAAAAUCAAUUAAAAAGAGUUAGAUUUUGUUGUGUAUUGACCUUAACAGCCUGCAUUUCAAUUUUCUUGCUUUUUUUAAUGCACUUCUCGUUUAACAAGUCAACAUCAGUUUCUUUUGUUGUAAAAAGGUCAUUGGAAGGUGGCUUUCUUUUCGGAGAAAGUGUUUAUAGCCUUUGACUCCUGCAAUCGGAGAGACUGAGGUCUGCAGCGUAGAUCCUUCGGGGUUAGAUACAUUUGUGCUAAGUUAUAGCUUUUUAGUAGACAACUUGUUGACUAUGAUUAGUCUUGUAGCUUACUCGCUUAUGCUAUUUUACCUACGCUUAGGAUGUUGACACACGCGCGUGCUCGACUCUACACAUGACUCUGCGCAUAUCAAUAAGCGGAGGAAAAGGUACCUACGCUUAGGAUGUUGACACACGCGCGUGCUCGACUCUAUACAUGACUCUGUGCAUGCCAUAUCAAUAAGCGGAGGAAAAGAGGGCUAUUACCUACGCUUAGGAUGUUGACACACGCGCGUGCUCGACUCUAUACAUGACUCUGUGCAUAUCAAUAAGCGGAGGAAAAGGAGUAUACCUACGCUUAGGAUGUUGAUGUGAUACUGCGAGCA